Molecule: unclassified non-coding RNA, 272 nt
Filed under: plant metagenome
Description: partial contains small subunit ribosomal RNA, internal transcribed spacer 1, and 5.8S ribosomal RNA
Source: RNAcentral
UUUCCGUAGGUGAACCUGGGGAAGGAUCAUUAAUGAGUUGUCAUGGGGUUCGAUGCUGGCAGCCAGUUUUUGGAUGCAUGUGCUUGCCCUAACAAUCAUCUUCUUCCAAACACCUGUGCACAUUUUUGAGGGAGUCUUGAGUUGGUUGCCGCUCUUGGGUGAUUUUCUCACAUUCCCUUAAAUCAUUAUACGCUAUUAACAAUGUUGAACGUGCUCUGUGCCGCAAGGCCAUUAAUAUAAUACAACUUUUAACAACGGAUCUCUUGGCUCUC